ACCCGCUGAACUUAAGCAUAUCAAUAAGCGGAGGAAAAGAAACCAACAGGGAUUGCCCUAGUAACGGCGAGUGAAGCGGCAACAGCUCAAAUUUGAAAUCUGGCUCUUUUAUGGUCCGAGUUGUAAUUUGCAGAGGGCGCUUUGGCGUUGGCAGCGGUCCAAGUUCUUUGGAACAGGACGUCACAGAGGGUGAGAAUCCCGUACGUGGUCGCUAUCCUUCGCCGUGUAAAGCCCCUUCGACGAGUCGAGUUGUUUGGGAAUGCAGCUCUAAAUGGGAGGUAAAUUUCUUCUAAAGCUAAAUACUGGCCAGAGACCGAUAGCGCACAAGUAGAGUGAUCGAAAGAUGAAAAGCACUUUGGAAAGAGAGUCAAAUAGCACGUGAAAUUGUUGAAAGGGAAGCGCUUGCAGCCAGACUUGCCUGUAGUUGCUUAUCUGGACUUUUGUCCGGUGCACUCUUCUGCGGGCAGGCCAGCAUCAGUUUGGGCGGUUGGAUAAAGGUCUCUGUCAUGUACCUCCUUUCGGGGAGGCCUUAUAGGGGAGACGACAUGCAACCAGCCUGGACUGAGGUCCGCGCAUCUGCUAGGAUGCUGGCGUAAUGGCUGU
RNAcentral lists this ribosomal RNA (603 nucleotides) under uncultured fungus. RNAcentral's name for it is "eukaryotic LSU rRNA". It matches the Rfam family "Eukaryotic large subunit ribosomal RNA", at positions 23 to 641 of the family's 3401-position model. Lineage: Eukaryota; Fungi. The record is from RNAcentral.